RNAcentral lists this ribosomal RNA (300 nucleotides) under uncultured bacterium. RNAcentral describes it as "bacterial SSU rRNA". The stretch from base 52 to 300 matches the Rfam family "Bacterial small subunit ribosomal RNA", at positions 547 to 795 of the family's 1533-position model. The record is from RNAcentral.
GGGAGGUAGGGUGAGCGGGCGGAGUACAUGCGUAGGGGGUAGUGGUGGUUUGGAAGUGCUGGUAGUGAAGGGGUGGCAUGCGGCGAUCCAAGUCAGUGGUGAAAGCCCGGAGGUCAACUCCGGAACGUCCAUUGAAGCUGUUUAUCUGUGGUAUGAGGUGGGUGAGUGGAAUUCCCAGUGUAGAGGUGAAAUUCGUAGAUAUUGGGAAGAACACCGGUGGCGAAGGCGGCUCACAGGCUCAUUACUGACGCUCAUGCGCGACAGCGUGGGGAUCAAACAGGAUUAGAUACCCCAGUAGUC